GCCUUGGUAGCUCAAUUGGCUAGAGCGUGGGACUUUUACUAAUCUCCUUGAUUUCGAAGGAUUUCUUGAAAUCCCAAGGUUGCGGGUUCGACCCCCGCCUGAGGCG
This is a non-coding RNA of Daldinia caldariorum, 106 nucleotides long. The record is from the annotation of a RefSeq genome assembly. Lineage: Eukaryota; Fungi; Ascomycota; Sordariomycetes; Xylariales; Hypoxylaceae.